This 434-nucleotide ribosomal RNA is filed under the name uncultured Lachnospiraceae bacterium. Its description in RNAcentral is "bacterial SSU rRNA". It matches the Rfam family "Bacterial small subunit ribosomal RNA", at positions 341 to 792 of the family's 1533-position model. The record is from RNAcentral. Lineage: Bacteria; Bacillati; Bacillota; Clostridia; Lachnospirales; Lachnospiraceae.
ACGGGAGGCAGCAGUGGGGAAUAUUGGACAAUGGGGGAAACCCUGAUCCAGCGACGCCGCGUGAGUGAAGAAGUAUUUCGGUAUGUAAAGCUCUAUCAGCAAGGAAGAAAAUGACGGUACUUGACUAAGAAGCCCCGGCUAACUACGUGCCAGCAGCCGCGGUAAUACGUAGGGGGCAAGCGUUAUCCGGAUUUACUGGGUGUAAAGGGAGCGUAGACGGUAUGGCAAGUCUGAAGUGAAAUGCAUGGGCUCAACCCAUGAACUGCUUUGGAAACUGUCAAACUAGAGUGCAGGAGAGGUAAGUGGAAUUCCUAGUGUAGCGGUGAAAUGCGUAGAUAUUAGGAGGAACACCAGUGGCGAAGGCGGCUUACCGGACUGUAACUGACGUUGAGGCUCGAAAGCGUGGGGAGCAAACAGGAUUAGAUACCCUGGUA